Molecule: non-coding RNA, 135 nt
Organism: Triticum aestivum (bread wheat)
Lineage: Eukaryota; Viridiplantae; Streptophyta; Magnoliopsida; Poales; Poaceae
Source: Rfam
UUUCUACUUUCUUUGUCCGAAAAUACUUGUCAUCAAAAUGGAUAAAAAGAGAUGUAUCUAAAACUAAAAUACUUCUAGAUACAUUUCCUUUUAUCCAUUUUGAUGACAAGUAUUUCCGGACGGAGGGAGUAUUUG